RNAcentral lists this ribosomal RNA (406 nucleotides) under uncultured bacterium. Its description in RNAcentral is "partial 16S ribosomal RNA". It matches the Rfam family "Bacterial small subunit ribosomal RNA", at positions 29 to 526 of the family's 1533-position model. The record is from RNAcentral.
AUUGAACGCUGGCGGCGUGCUUUACACAUGCAAGUCGGACGAGUGGCGAACGGGUGAGUAACGCAUGGGAAAGUGCCGAGUGGAGGGGGAUAACUGCCGGAAAGGGUAGCUAAUACCGCAUACUAUUGGAGGGGCCCAGGUGGGAUUAGCUGGUUGGUGGGGUAAAGGCACACCAAGGCGACGAUCACUAGCGGGUCGGAGAGGAAGACCGGCCAAACUGGACCUGAGACACGGUCCAGACUCUUACGGGAGGCAGCAGGGGGGAAUUUUGCACAAUGGGCGAAAGCCUGAUGCAGCCAUGCCGCGUGUCUGAAGAAGGCCUUCGGGUUGUAAAGGACUUUUGUCGGGGAGGCGGUACCUGAAGAAGAAGCACCGGCUAACUACGUGCCAGCCGCCGCGGUAAUUC